AGCAGCCGCGGUAAUUCCAGCUCCAAUAGCGUAUAUUAAAGUUGUUGCAGUUAAAAAGCUCGUAGUUGAAUUUCGAGACCGGCUUACUGGUCGUGCUUUUGUGCGUACUGGUAUAAUCGGUUUCUCCUUUCUGACGAACUUUAAUGCCAUUAAUUUGGUGUUUUAGGGAAUCAGGACUGUUACUUUGAAAAAUUAGAGUGUUUAAAGCAGGCUCACGCUUGAACACAUUAGCAUGGAAUAACGGAAUAGGACGUUUGAUUCUAUUUUGUUGGUUUCUAGGAUCGACGUAAUGAUUAAUAGGGAUAGUUGGGGGCAUUAGUAUUCAAUUGUCAGAGGUGAAAUUCUUGGAUUUAUUGAAGGCUAACUACUGCGAAAGCAUUUGCCAAGGAUGUUUUCAUUAAUCAAGAACGAAAGUUAGGGGAUCGAAGACGAUCAGAUACCGUCGUAGUCUUAACCAUAAACUAUGCCGACUA
This 473-nucleotide ribosomal RNA is filed under the name uncultured Glomus. RNAcentral describes it as "SSU rRNA". It matches the Rfam family "Eukaryotic small subunit ribosomal RNA", at positions 569 to 1048 of the family's 1831-position model. The record is from RNAcentral. Lineage: Eukaryota; Fungi; Glomeromycota; Glomeromycetes; Glomerales; Glomeraceae.